This 253-nucleotide ribosomal RNA is filed under the name uncultured bacterium. Its description in RNAcentral is "partial 16S ribosomal RNA". It matches the Rfam family "Bacterial small subunit ribosomal RNA", at positions 524 to 776 of the family's 1533-position model. The record is from RNAcentral.
GCCGGAGGAUGCAAGCGUUAUCCGGAAUUAUUGGGCGUAAAGCGUCCGCAGGUGGCCUAUCAAGUCUGCUGUCAAAGACCGGGGCUUAACCCCAGAAAGGCAGUGGAAACUGAAAGGCUAGAGGAUGGUAGGGGCAGAGGGAAUUCCCAGUGUAGCGGUGAAAUGCGUAGAGAUUGGGAAGAACACCGGUGGCGAAAGCGCUCUGCUGGGCCAUAACUGACACUCAGGGACGAAAGCUAGGGGAGCGAAUGGG